Molecule: ribosomal RNA, 497 nt
Filed under: uncultured bacterium
Lineage: Bacteria
Description: partial 16S ribosomal RNA
Rfam family: Bacterial small subunit ribosomal RNA
Source: RNAcentral
GGUGGGGGGGGGGGGGGGGGCUAGUGGGUGGAGGUCGAGGGGGCGGGCGGGGGUGUUGCUGCUCGGGCGUUGGCUGCGGCCGGGUGGUUACGGCGUGGGUAGCCUACGUAUGAGACUGAGAUCACUUGGUGAGACCGUGGCUCAUACAGGAUAAGAUAUUGCGCGGCAUGUUUCCCUCGUGCACUACGUGUUUGCUGUCACUUAUCGAUCUGUUCGCUCCGGAUUAUCUAUGUGUUAAGGUACAUGCUUGCCCAGGCAACGAUGCGUAGCCGACCUGACCGGGUGAUCGGCCACACUGGAACUGAGACACGGUCCACACUCCUACGGGAGGCAGCAGUAGGGAAUCGUCCGCAAUGGGCUAAAGCCUGACGUAGCAACGCCGCGUGAGUGAUGAAGGUCUUAGGAUCGUAAAACUCUUGUAUUAGGGAAGAACAAAUGUGUAAGUAACUAUGCACGUCUUGACGGUACCUAAUCAGAAAGCCACGGCUAACUACGUG